This 379-nucleotide ribosomal RNA is filed under the name uncultured bacterium. Its description in RNAcentral is "bacterial SSU rRNA". It matches the Rfam family "Bacterial small subunit ribosomal RNA", at positions 28 to 402 of the family's 1533-position model. The record is from RNAcentral.
GACGAACGCUGGCGGCGUGCUUAACACAUGCAAGUGGAGCGACGAACCAGGGCUUGCCCUGGGGCAGAGCCGCGAACGGGUGAGUAACACGUGGGUAACCUGCCUCGAUGAUCGGGACAACCCGGGGAAACCCGAGCUAAUACCGAAUGUGCCCCAUCCGCAUCAGUGGAUGGUGUAAAGGAAGCUUCGGCCUCCGCAUCGAGAUGGGCCCGCGGCCCAUUAGCUUGUGUGGGGUAAGGCCACCAAGGCUUCGAUGGGUAGGCUGGUCUGAGAGGACGAUCAGCCACACUGGGACUGAGACACGGCCCAGACUCCUACGGGAGGGCAGCAGUGGGGAAUCUUGCGCAAUGCGCGAAAGCGUGACGCAGCAACGCCGCGU